GACGAACGCUGGCGGCGUGCUUAACGCAUGCAAGUCGAACGGAAAGGCCCUGCUUUUGUGGGGUGCUCGAGUGGCGAACGGGUGAGUAACACGUGAGUAACCUGCCCUUGACUUUGGGAUAACAUCAGGAAACUGGGGCUAAUACCGGAUAGGAGCUCCUGCUGCAUGGUGGGGGUUGGAAAGUUUCGGCGGUUGGGGAUGGACUCGCGGCUUAUCAGCUUGUUGGUGGGGUAGUGGCUUACCAAGGCUUUGACGGGUAGCCGGCCUGAGAGGGUGACCGGCCACAUUGGGACUGAGAUACGGCCCAGACUCCUACGGGAGGCAGCAGUGGGGAAUAUUGCACAAUGGGCGGAAGCCUGAUGCAGCAACGCCGCGUGCGGGAUGACGGCCUUCGGGUUGUAAACCGCUUUCGCCUGUGACGAAGCGUGAGUGACGGUAAUGGGUAAAGAAGCACCGGCUAACUACGUG
This 468-nucleotide ribosomal RNA is filed under the name uncultured bacterium. Its description in RNAcentral is "partial 16S ribosomal RNA". It matches the Rfam family "Bacterial small subunit ribosomal RNA", at positions 28 to 507 of the family's 1533-position model. The record is from RNAcentral.